RNAcentral lists this unclassified non-coding RNA (240 nucleotides) under soil metagenome. RNAcentral's name for it is "partial contains 5.8S ribosomal RNA, internal transcribed spacer 2, and large subunit ribosomal RNA". The record is from RNAcentral.
AACGGUCUAUACCUGCGGUACCUGCGGAAGGAUCAUUAUUGAAUGAACUUGGUUGGGCUGUUGCUGGCUCUUGGGGGGCAUGUGCACGCUCAGCGCCAAUUUCUUACCACCUGUGCACCCGUUGUAGACUAGGAAUUAACUCUUCGAGGUCGACUCGGCUUUUGGUAAUUGCAGUGUGUGCAAGCCUGCUUUUCACCUACAGUUCUUCCUGUCUAUGCUUUUUAUAUACUCCUAUUUGUA